Long non-coding RNA from Melanotaenia boesemani (Boeseman's rainbowfish), 613 nucleotides. RefSeq lists it as uncharacterized. The record is from RefSeq and is a predicted model, not a curated record. The transcript has 3 exons. NCBI's taxonomy places the organism in Eukaryota, Metazoa, Chordata, Actinopteri, Atheriniformes, Melanotaeniidae.
GCUGCCACAUCAGAGAAUAAAUGCGAAGGAAGAAAGAGACUGCUCUCUGGUACGAACAGCUCUGCAGUUUUGUAUUUUCACAUAGCAAAUGUGCUAUUCUAUUCACGUGUAAAAUAUUGUAUAUUAAACUUUUAAGUUGAUUUUAUCUCUCUGCAUAUAAUCCCCUUUCCAAAAAAGUUGGAAAUCAAAUGAAAAUACAAUAAUGUGUGAGACAAAUUUCUAUAGAAAUGUUAUUAUAAUUUAUUUGAAUAAUAUUCACUCAUUUUGAAUAUAUGACGCCAACACAUUGUUAGGGUGUGUUGAAAUGGCUCAAACAAAAAAAGUUGAGGUUUUUAAAGUUUUUUAGCAGCAAAGAUGGAAAUUUUAUAAUCAGAGGUGGACCAAAAAACCCAGAUUCAAAAUGUCUAGAGACAUGUUUCUUCAUGAAGGACAAGAUCAGAAACCAAAAUGGAAUAGUCACCAUCUGGAAACCUCAGACAGCACUGCGUUAAAUACAAAUAUGAUUCUGUGAUAAAUUCUUUUAUUGCGCUGCUGUCUCAUAAAACCCAAUAUACAGUACAUACCCAGGCAUAAUGAAAACAGAAUGUCUGGGCUCCUGUUAAGCGCUCCACUU